Molecule: long non-coding RNA, 938 nt
Organism: Bombus pyrosoma
Lineage: Eukaryota; Metazoa; Arthropoda; Insecta; Hymenoptera; Apidae
Exons: 4
Source: RefSeq, a predicted model, not a curated record
CUCGACCACGGAACUUUGCAACGGCUUCGCGACACGAAGCGCUAUACCUCGAAAGCGUAAGUGCCUAAUGUACCAUCGAUGUCCCUACGAUUCUUUCGCCGAAUAUUCGGAAGAAUGCAUACGCGGCAACGUCGCGGACGUCUAAUAAACGCGUACGUAGUGGGGAUAUGCAGGGGCAACAAAGGAAAGAAUCCGUUUGGUUUCGAACCAAAGAUUCAUUCUGCCCCGAGCUGCGAAGUGCGAAAGGUUAGUAAUUAAUUGCUGUUGAUGGUUAAUUUUUAAUUGUCUCUGUUAAUUGUUAAUAGUUUAAUGAACCUUUUUGUUGAACAUCAAGAGUAUUUCUCAUGGGCACGGUCGCCAACAACCGCCUCGCAUAUCUCAAUAGAUACAUAUACGUCUCUUUGCAAUAUUUUCCAACCAUCCAACGUGUAGACAUUUCAGAACAAAACACAGGAUUUCGACCAGCGUUAUUUGUACGUAUCUGCAAGACGAAUACUUUCACGUAACGCGCAGAGGAACAGCGUGACGAGGAAAAUCGAGGAAGUUUCAUGGCCUGCGCAUCGGUGUCGAGGGUUGCAAGCAGACGCACAGCAUCGUCUGGUGAUAGAGCGGAGGGUUAAAAGGAGGUGAAAGGACGGGAGAAGGAUGGCGCGAUAACGGGCAGCCAUAGCGAAGGUGAAGGCAAUAGCGCGAAAGGCGGCAGAGAUUGAUUAUGUUAAUCGCCAUGGAUGCAAAUUAGACGGCCAGGGGAAGAUGUACGUAACUCUGAACCUCGAGACAUCUUCCUCCUUUCAACUUCCGCCAUCGCCCUCAUCAUCGUCGCCUACCGUAACAACGUUCCCCUUUUUUCAAGGACGAACAACAGGAAAAACCGUAAUGUAUUUCCAACACCUUCCUCGAGGGUUAAUUAACAAUCGUUAGGGAAAAGAAGUCGGGCC